GAUGAACGCUAGCGGGAGGCUUAACACAUGCAAGUCGAGGGGUAAGGAGAUAGCAAUAUUUCCCUAGACCGGCGCACGGGUGAGUAACGCGUAUGCAACCUGCCCUUUACAGGGGGAUAGCCCGGAGAAAUCCGGAUUAAUACCCCAUGGAUCUGCAGUACCGCAUGGUACAACAGAUAAAGCUGAGGCGGUAAAGGAUGGGCAUGUGUGACAUUAGCUAGUUGGUAAGGUAACGGCUUACCAAGGCUACGAUGUCUAGGGGGUUCUGAGAGGAAGGUCCCCCACACUGGUACUGAGACACGGACCAGACUCCUACGGGUGGCAG
Molecule: ribosomal RNA, 325 nt
Filed under: uncultured Bacteroidota bacterium
Lineage: Bacteria; Pseudomonadati; Bacteroidota
Description: bacterial SSU rRNA
Rfam family: Bacterial small subunit ribosomal RNA
Source: RNAcentral